Asterias rubens (European starfish) is the source of this 3857-nucleotide long non-coding RNA. RefSeq lists it as uncharacterized. The record is from RefSeq and is a predicted model, not a curated record. Lineage: Eukaryota; Metazoa; Echinodermata; Asteroidea; Forcipulatida; Asteriidae. The transcript is spliced from 4 exons.
AUUAUUUCAUAUCGAAUGAAAAAGUGGUGGCGCCAUACGGAAACUUGUCCGUAAUGUUGAAUAUAAAUAGAGAACAUUAUAGUGGAGGUCGGAAACACAAGUUAACUUUCAAGAUCAAGAUCAAGACAAGAUGAAGACUGCAAAGAGUAAGAGAAGAUCUAACCCGUUCUCUUGCAGAGUCCCACCCCUCGUACCGCCCCCAUCCCCAACAACGUUCGUUAAUCUUGUUGAUGUUGUCCUUAUACUUGUCUAUCUUUCAUGGUGACUUCAAGCUGUCUCUGCAUUUCUUGAGUUGCAUAUUGGUCGAAGCCAGUGAUGCUUUUUAAUUAGGAGACUAGUCUUACUGGAAAAUUCUGACAGAGUCGAUACUUCAUGUCGUCAGUUGUUGUCAUGCAUUUUUCAAGAGACGUCAAAUUUGUAAAUUAAGAUAAGAAAUCCUACUCAAACGUAUUCGUGAUUACUUGCAAUAAAUUCUUAAACUAGCAAAUUGUUUGAGUGUAGGCCUAUAAACCAAAACAUAAUCAUAAUAGCACAACUAAUAGUUUUUGCGCUUUGUGCAUUGGGUAUAACACUCAGCAUCAUAAGUGUUACUAAGAAAGAACAGCAUUCAAGUAAAUAGUCCAGUCAAAUAAACAAUCAUUGAUGAUUUACCUUAGAUUAACGAGUAGUACAUAUAGAAUUUAUCAAAGCUAAAUUGUCAUUUACAUAUUUCAUCAGCAUUACAGCAAUUUUAAGUGUUGAUACUUUAAGAAUAAUUAACAGUUUAAUAAAACCAAUAGUGAAAAUUAUAAAUACAAACGUUUGGUUCUCAACUUUCCUUGUAAGCUUGUAACUUGCAUAACCCACUACCAUAGUGUUUAUUAUUUAUUGUAAGUAAUAUUGCGUUCAAAUAGGAGAAAAAAAGUAAGCAAAUAAAUAAUUCAAGAAAUGAUUUCAGCAGUGUAACUGUUCUCUUUUGCUGCAGCGCCUUGUAAUUGUAUCUUGUGCAAAAACCCAUCAGUGGUAAAGAAGUAAUCAUCUCUGUAUGCAACACUCAUUUGAUGGUUAAUGUUUGAUUUAGGAAUUAUAGUAAAUGUAUAAUUUAGACAAGCUAAAUUUAUAUUUUCAUGUUCCUAAUAUCAAAACAAAAUGUUUCUAAAACAAAACAAAAUAAACAAAUAAAUAAGUAGCAAAUGAAGUGUUAGCGAUAAUAAAAGUAAAGAAACACCAACUUUAAUUCUGACCUACUUUCCUUAACUGCUGCAUGCAUCUCGGUGUUUGAAAGAAGCAAGCAUCCAGGUAUUCAACACUCAUUUGAUAUUAAUGCUUGAUUUAGGAUUUCUUGUAAACAUUUAAUUUAGACCAACUAAAUUAAUAUUUACAUGUUCCUAACAUCAACAUGUUAUCAAUUUCGGGUGCAGAAUUGUUUUUAUAAAGCAAAAAAAGAAAAAAAAAAAAAACACCAAUAGGGCAAUAAGUAUUCAACAAACUAAUUGUAGCGAUAUUGAUGUUAACCUAAAUUUUGAUUGUGCACUUUCCCUCACGCUGCUGCUUUUUGUACUUUAUGUAUAAGCCCAAAACUACGUUAAUAAGAAUAGGCAGUCUCAUCAGCAAUCAUUUGAUGAUCAAUGUUUGAUUAAGGAGUUGUACAUAGAUUAUUUAGACUAUAUGAAUAAAUACUUACAUAGUCCCAAUAUCAACAUUACAUCAUCUGUCAAUGUUGACAUUUUCUACUUAAAUUACAUAUAUUUAAUUUUCGAAAAAAUCUGGGGAAAAAAUUUGGAAAAAAAAACCUCGCUGAGGCUGUAGUCCUUGCUAGAGAUCAGGGGAAAUACAUCUCCACAAUUGUUUGUGAUCUGAGCGCUGCGCGAUAAACAAAAUCGAGAAAGAAAAAAAUGGGCAGAAAAAGAGGAUUGAAAAUAACGAAAGAGGAGCCAAGAUGCGAAGAGGAAUAACAAGUAGUUCAUCGGGAAAGAUGUCAAUGUGCCUGAGGUAAGUAUGAAUGGUAAGACAGUGAGGGCAUAGAUUAGAAUAGAUUAAAGUCUUGGUUGGCCUAGAGAUAAGACUAACUUUUAACCCAUUCAGCAGGUUCACUGGCUAUAGGUAAAGUAUAAGGUGUGACCGGUGUAGUACUUAGUCUUUUCAGAUGCAAAUCUUAUGUUCUGUUCUGUGACAAAAUACACAAAGUGUAAAAUUAGAAUAGUAUGAAACAAGUACCUAAACAAAAUGGCGUCUUGAACCAAACUAAGACCUACACCGUCAUCACCACACACAUAGCCCCUUUGAUGUCCUGGAUGGGUGACUGGAGUCCGGUGAGAUUGCCUGCUUGCAGAAAUGGCUAAGUAUAACUGGUGAAGUAUCAGACUAUUAGACCAGGUGAACCUCGUGUACAAUAUUAAGUGUGACCUUGUGCAUUCCUUGGCUAGUCUGGCAGGCAAGAUAUUGCACUGGUCAUAUGGGAAAGUUUACACUUUGUGUCAUAUUUUCCUCAUUAAUCCAAGAGUUAUGAAAAAGAUCUGGACAAGUUUUGAGAUGAGCCUUCUUUCAUCAAAUCAAAAGUCGAUAACAAUUGGACAGUGCAAUCGCCAUAUAAGAUUUUAUGUUUUCUUCCAUUAUGCUGUGUACAAAUCUUGCCUGUAGGAUUCCAGGCUUGAUGCACAAGUCCAAUUGUCUAACCUUGUGUCCGCAGCUUCUAACCUUUUGUCCGCAGCUCCUAACGUCUCUUUUACAAGAUAAUAACAUUGCUUUUGUUUGUUUUCCACAGAACGACCUGUUGGGGUGUCCGAUGACAUCGGUUUGAUUGUGAAGAAAAUGACACUGAUCUGAGAUGAUGUCCAUCGGGGAUUUUGGUCAUGCGAAGUAUUUGGUUAUGUAUCGAGUUAUGUAAGUUACUGGAAAAGAAAAACCUGCUUUGUGAGACGGCAACAAAAUCAAGAAAUUAAGAGAAGCAGGUUGUGAAGAAGUUGUCAAUGAGCCGAGGUAAUGUAAUGCCUUCCUGCAUGGACUUGGGUCAUACAAAAUUGAAGAUUGAAUUGAAACAACGACUUUGGAAAUAACCUACACAUAGUUUUGAGGCUAGUCGACGCUCUCGAGACUUUACCACCAGCUGAAAGACUACAUCAAGUCUACCCAGAUGACACUUCACUGAAGGUUCAAGUGACUGUGAAUGGGUGUAAUGCUAACCAAUUGUGCACCAACAGCCGAAGGACUAGAUCAAAUCUACCCGGAUGACUUUUCACUGCGUUGUCAAAUUUUGCCUACAAUUUGCUAUAGUCUUGUGUUCUUGUCAAAACAAGUUCUAAAAAGCAAGAAAAUUGCUAUAAAAUGCAACAAGACCUUGUGCCUUGUAUUCUUAAAAAAAUUGGCCCGAAAAUGCAAUAUAUUGGCUCUAAAAUGCAACAAGGCUAUAUAUAGCCUCAUGUACCCGCAAACUUUGCCUAAAAACCAACAAAUUUGCUCUAAAAUGCAACAAGGCUAUAGUCUUGUGUUGUUAACGAAAUGUUGCCAAAAAGUGCGGAAAUUUGCUCUAAAAUGCAACAAGGCUAUAGCCUUGUGUGCUUGUCAAAUUUUGCCUAAUAGUGCAACAAAUUUGCUCUUAAAUGCAACAAGGCUAUAUGCCUUGUGUUCUGAAGAAAUUGUGGCUGAAAAUGCAACGAACUUGCUCUAAAAUGCAACAAGGCCAUUGCCUUGUGGAUUUGUGAAAAGGUGCUAUUAUAAGCAAAACAUUUGCUUUAAAAUGCAAUAAGGCUUCAAGGCCUUGUGUAUACUUAUCAAAUUUCGCCUACAAGUGCAACAAAUUUGGUCUAAAAUACAACAACGCUCGUGUACUUGUCAAAAGGUGCUCUUAAUCGCAACAAAUUUGCUCUAAAUUACAACAA